RNAcentral lists this ribosomal RNA (253 nucleotides) under uncultured bacterium. RNAcentral describes it as "partial 16S ribosomal RNA". It matches the Rfam family "Bacterial small subunit ribosomal RNA", at positions 524 to 776 of the family's 1533-position model. The record is from RNAcentral.
UACGUAGGGGGCGAGCGUUGUCCGGAGUUACUGGGCGUAAAGGGUGCGUAGGCGGCCUAUUAAGUCAGGUGUGAAAACCCCUGGCUCAACUAGGGGGUUGCACUUGAAACUGAUGGGCUUGAGUGCAGGAGAGGGAAGUGGAAUUCCUGGUGUAGCGGUGAAAUGCGUAGAUAUCAGGAGGAACACCAGUGGCGAAGGCGGCUUUCUGGCCUGUAACUGACGCUGAGGCACGAAAGCGUGGGGAGCAAACAGG